ACCAGGAUGGCCGAGUGGUUAAGGCGUUGGACUUAAGAUCCAAUGGAUGUAAAUUCACGUGGGUUCGAACCCCACUCCUGGUA
This 83-nucleotide transfer RNA is filed under the name Astyanax mexicanus (Mexican tetra). It matches the Rfam family "tRNA". From Rfam's summary of the family: Transfer RNA (tRNA) molecules are approximately 80 nucleotides in length. Their secondary structure includes four short double-helical elements and three loops (D, anti-codon, and T loops). The record is from Rfam by way of RNAcentral. Lineage: Eukaryota; Metazoa; Chordata; Actinopteri; Characiformes; Acestrorhamphidae.